RNAcentral lists this ribosomal RNA (657 nucleotides) under Chromohalobacter sp. RNAcentral's name for it is "bacterial SSU rRNA". It matches the Rfam family "Bacterial small subunit ribosomal RNA", at positions 434 to 1083 of the family's 1533-position model. The record is from RNAcentral. Lineage: Bacteria; Pseudomonadati; Pseudomonadota; Gammaproteobacteria; Oceanospirillales; Halomonadaceae.
UUCAGCGAGGAAGAAAGCGUGCCGUUUAAUACACGGUACGGACGACAUCACUCGCAGAAGAAGCACCGGCUAACUCCGUGCCAGCAGCCGCGGUAAUACGGAGGGUGCAAGCGUUAAUCGGAAUUACUGGGCGUAAAGCGCGCGUAGGCGGCGUGUCACGCCGGGUGUGAAAGCCCCGGGCUCAACCUGGGAACGGCAUCCGGAACGGGCAGGCUAGAGUGCAGGAGAGGAAGGUAGAAUUCCCGGUGUAGCGGUGAAAUGCGUAGAGAUCGGGAGGAAUACCAGUGGCGAAGGCGGCCUUCUGGACUGACACUGACGCUGAGGUGCGAAAGCGUGGGUAGCAAACAGGAUUAGAUACCCUGGUAGUCCACGCCGUAAACGAUGUCGACUAGCCGUUGGGUCCCUUGAGGACUUAGUGGCGCAGUUAACGCGAUAAGUCGACCGCCUGGGGAGUACGGCCGCAAGGUUAAAACUCAAAUGAAUUGACGGGGGCCCGCACAAGCGGUGGAGCAUGUGGUUUAAUUCGAUGCAACGCGAAGAACCUUACCUACCCUUGACAUCCUGCGAACCCGGAAGAGAUUCCGGGGUGCCUUCGGGAGCGCARAGACAGGUGCUGCAUGGCUGUCSUCASCUCSUGUUGUGAAAWGUUGNGGUUAA